UACGGAGGGGACUAGCGUUGUUCGGAAUCACUGGGCGUAAAGCGCACGUAGGCGGAUUUAUAAGUCAGGGGUGAAAUCCCGGGGCUCAACCUCGGAACUGCCUUUGAUACUGUGAAUCUUGAGUCCGAUAGAGGUGGGUGGAAUUCCUAGUGUAGAGGUGAAAUUCGUAGAUAUUAGGAAGAACACCGGUGGCGAAGGCGGCUCACUGGCUCGUUUCUGACGCUCAGGCGCGAUAGCGUGGGGAUCAAACAGG
Molecule: ribosomal RNA, 253 nt
Filed under: uncultured bacterium
Lineage: Bacteria
Description: partial 16S ribosomal RNA
Rfam family: Bacterial small subunit ribosomal RNA
Source: RNAcentral